AUUGAACGCUGGCGGAAUGCUUUACACAUGCAAGUCGAACGGCAGCACGGACUUCGGUCUGGUGGCGAGUGGCGAACGGGUGAGUAAUGUAUCGGAACGUGCCCAGUCGUGGGGGAUAACGUAGUGAAAAUUACGCUAAUACCGCAUACGAUCUAUGGAUGAAAGCGGGGGAUCGCAAGACCUCGCGCGAUUGGAGUGGCCGAUAUCAGAUUAGGUAGUUGGUGGGGUAAAGGCCCACCAAGCCAACGACCUGUAGCUGGUCUGAGAGGACGACCAGCUACACUGGAACUGGGACACGGUCCAGACUCCGACGGGAGGCAGCAGUGGGGAAUUUUGGAAAAUGGGCGAAAGCCUGAUCCAGCCAUUCCGCGUGCAGGAUGAAGGCCCUCGGGUUGUAAACUGCUUUUGUACAGAACGAAAAGGUUUCUACUAAUACUAGGAGCUCAUGACGGUACUGUAAGAAUAAGCACCGGCUAACUACGUGCCAGCAGCCGCCGUAA
RNAcentral lists this ribosomal RNA (500 nucleotides) under uncultured bacterium. Its description in RNAcentral is "partial 16S ribosomal RNA". It matches the Rfam family "Bacterial small subunit ribosomal RNA", at positions 30 to 523 of the family's 1533-position model. The record is from RNAcentral.